CUUACCAUGCAAGUCGAGCGGUAAGGCCUUUCGGGGUACACGAGCGGCGAACGGGUGAGUAACACGUGGGUGACCUGCCUCGCACUCUGGGAUAAGCCUGGGAAACUGGGUCUAAUACCGGAUAUGACCACAUGUCGCAUGGUGUGUGGUGGAAAGCUUUUGUGGUGUGAGAUGGGCCCGCGGCCUAUCAGCUUGUUGGUGGGGUGAUGGCCUACCAAGGCGACGACGGGUAGCCGGCCUGAGAGGGCGAUCGGCCACACUGGGACUGAGACACGGCCCAGACUCCUACGGGAGGCAGCAGUGGGGAAUAUUGCACAAUGGGCGGAAGCCUGAUGCAGCGACGCCGCGUGAGGGAUGACGGCCUUCGGGUUGUAAACCUCUUUCAGUACCGACGAAGCGCGAGUGACGGUAGGUACAGAAGAAGCACCGGCCAACUACGUGCCAGCAGCCGCGGUAAUACGUAGGGUGCAAGCGUUGUCCGGAAUUACUGGGCGUAAAGAGCUCGUAGGCGGUUUGUCGCGUCGACUGUGAAAUCCCAUGGCUCAACUGUGGGCGUGCAGUCGAUACGGGCAGACUUGAGUACUGCAGGGGAGACUGGAAUUCCUGGUGUAGCGGUGAAAUGCGCAGAUAUCAGGAGGAACACCGGUGGCGAAGGCGGGUCUCUGGGCAGUGACUGACGCUGAGGAGCGAAAGCAUGGGUAGCGAACAGGAUUAGAUACCCUGGUAGUCCAUGCCGUAAACGGUGGGCGCUAGGUGUGGGUUUCCUUCCACGGGAUCCGUGCCGUAGCUAACGCAUUAAGCGCCC
RNAcentral lists this ribosomal RNA (805 nucleotides) under Rhodococcus sp. (in: high G+C Gram-positive bacteria). RNAcentral describes it as "bacterial SSU rRNA". It matches the Rfam family "Bacterial small subunit ribosomal RNA", at positions 48 to 869 of the family's 1533-position model. Lineage: Bacteria; Bacillati; Actinomycetota; Actinomycetes; Mycobacteriales; Nocardiaceae. The record is from RNAcentral.